RNAcentral lists this ribosomal RNA (450 nucleotides) under uncultured Glomus. RNAcentral describes it as "SSU rRNA". It matches the Rfam family "Eukaryotic small subunit ribosomal RNA", at positions 569 to 1025 of the family's 1831-position model. Lineage: Eukaryota; Fungi; Glomeromycota; Glomeromycetes; Glomerales; Glomeraceae. The record is from RNAcentral.
AGCAGCCGCGGUAAUUCCAGCUCCAAUAGCGUAUAUUAAAGUUGCUGCAGUUAAAAAGCUCGUAGUUGAAUUUCGGGACCAUCAUGUCGGUCGUGCCUAGGUACGUACUGGCAUUGUUGGUUUCUCCCUUCUGACGAACCAUGAUGUCAUUUAUUUGGUGUUGUGGGGAAUCAGGACUGUUACUUUGAAAAAUUAGAGUGUUUAAAGCAGGCUCACGCUUGAAUACAUUAGCAUGGAAUAAUGAAAUAGGACGUUUGAUUCUAUUUUGUUGGUUUCUAGGAUCGACGUAAUGAUUAAUAGGGAUAGUUGGGGGCAUUAGUAUUCAAUUGUCAGAGGUGAAAUUCUUGGAUUUAUUGAAGACUAACUACUGCGAAAGCAUUUGCCAAGGAUGUUUUCAUUAAUCAAGAACGAAAGUUAGGGGAUCGAAGACGAUCAGAUACCGUCGUAGUC